RNAcentral lists this ribosomal RNA (864 nucleotides) under Escherichia coli. RNAcentral's name for it is "partial 23S ribosomal RNA". It matches the Rfam family "Bacterial large subunit ribosomal RNA", at positions 373 to 1239 of the family's 2925-position model. Lineage: Bacteria; Pseudomonadati; Pseudomonadota; Gammaproteobacteria; Enterobacterales; Enterobacteriaceae. The record is from RNAcentral.
CCGUACACAAAAAUGCACAUGCUGUGAGCUCGAUGAGUAGGGCGGGACACGUGGUAUCCUGUCUGAAUAUGGGGGGACCAUCCUCCAAGGCUAAAUACUCCUGACUGACCGAUAGUGAACCAGUACCGUGAGGGAAAGGCGAAAAGAACCCCGGCGAGGGGAGUGAAAAAGAACCUGAAACCGUGUACGUACAAGCAGUGGGAGCACAGAGCAAUCUGUGUGACUGCGUACCUUUUGUAUAAUGGGUCAGCGACUUAUAUUCUGUAGCAAGGUUAACCGAAUAGGGGAGCCGAAGGGAAACCGAGUCUUAACUGGGCGUUAAGUUGCAGGGUAUAGACCCGAAACCCGGUGAUCUAGCCAUGGGCAGGUUGAAGGUUGGGUAACACUAACUGGAGGACCGAACCGACUAAUGUUGAAAAAUUAGCGGAUGACUUGUGGCUGGGGGUGAAAGGCCAAUCAAACCGGGAGAUAGCUGGUUCUCCCCGAAAGCUAUUUAGGUAGCGCCUCGUGAAUUCAUCUCCGGGGGUAGAGCACUGUUUCGGCAAGGGGGUCAUCCCGACUUACCAACCCGAUGCAAACUGCGAAUACCGGAGAAUGUUAUCACGGGAGACACACGGCGGGUGCUAACGUCCGUCGUGAAGAGGGAAACAACCCAGACCGCCAGCUAAGGUCCCAAAGUCAUGGUUAAGUGGGAAACGAUGUGGGAAGGCCCAGACAGCCAGGAUGUUGGCUUAGAAGCAGCCAUCAUUUAAAGAAAGCGUAAUAGCUCACUGGUCGAGUCGGCCUGCGCGGAAGAUGUAACGGGGCUAAACCAUGCACCGAAGCUGCGGCAGCGACACUGUGUGUUGUUGGGUAGGGGAGCGU